UUUGUGGUUUUCUACCAUCUUCCUUAGUAUCUUCUUGAUAUUUUUAUUGGCGGCUUCUACGGCUCCAUUGAUCUGAGGACUAUAUGACUGAACGCCUCUAAGACAGAAUCCGGGCUAGAAGCAACGCAUGCGCCCGCCGUCCGCUUGCCGACCCGCAGUAGGGUCCUCUGGCCCCCAAGGGCACGUGUUGUUGGCUAAGUCAUCGCGGUGGAAGAGCCGCGAUGGCCGCCUUGAAGUACAAUUUCCAUCGUGCGGCGGGUAGAAUCCUUUGCAGACGAAUUAAAUACGCGACGGGGUAUUGUAAGUGGCACAGUGGCCUUGCUGCCACGAUCCACUGAGAUUCAGCCCUUUGUCGCUCCGAUUC
This 364-nucleotide non-coding RNA is filed under the name Nicotiana attenuata. Its description in RNAcentral is "Eukaryotic large subunit ribosomal RNA". It matches the Rfam family "Eukaryotic large subunit ribosomal RNA", at positions 3057 to 3399 of the family's 3401-position model. Lineage: Eukaryota; Viridiplantae; Streptophyta; Magnoliopsida; Solanales; Solanaceae. The record is from Rfam by way of RNAcentral.